AUCCUUUUGUAGUUCCUAAGUGUGGUGGUUGGGUUUUCACACUCAUAAGUGAGAUAUGCCUCCCUCAAACCUUAUCACCACCUGGGCCCAUUCCCCAUCUGAUA
This is a small nucleolar RNA of Pongo abelii (Sumatran orangutan), 104 nucleotides long. Lineage: Eukaryota; Metazoa; Chordata; Mammalia; Primates; Hominidae. The record is from Ensembl.